AGUCGACGGUAACAGGACUUCGGUCGCUGACGAGUGGCGCACGGGUGAGUAACGCGUGGGUUACCUGCCCAUAAGUGGGGAACAACUUGGAGAAAUCCAAGCUAAUACCGCAUAAUACCUUCGGGUUAAAGAGGGGGAUCUUCGGACCUCUCGCUUAUGGAUGGUCCCGCGUCUGAUUAGCUAGUUGGUAGGGUAAUGGCCUACCAAGGCAAUGAUCAGUAGCUGGUCUGAGAGGAUGAUCAGUCACACUGGAACUGAGACACGGUCCAGACUCCUACGGGAGGCAACAGUGGGGAAUUUUGCACAAUGGGCGAAAGCCUGAUGCAGCGACGCCGCGUGCGGGAAGAAGGCCUUCGGGUUGUAAACCGCUUUCAACAGGGAAGAAGGAAUGACAGCUAAUACCUCUCUGGCUUGACGGUACCUGUAAAAGAAGCACCGGCUAAUUUCGUGCCAGCAGCCGCGGUAAUACGAAAGGUGCAAGCGUUGUUCGGAUUUACUGGGCGAAAUGAGAUCGUAGGUG
Molecule: ribosomal RNA, 520 nt
Filed under: uncultured bacterium
Lineage: Bacteria
Description: bacterial SSU rRNA
Rfam family: Bacterial small subunit ribosomal RNA
Source: RNAcentral